This is a long non-coding RNA of Strongylocentrotus purpuratus (purple sea urchin), 862 nucleotides long. RefSeq lists it as uncharacterized. The transcript has 4 exons. The record is from RefSeq and is a predicted model, not a curated record. NCBI's taxonomy places the organism in Eukaryota, Metazoa, Echinodermata, Echinoidea, Camarodonta, Strongylocentrotidae.
UACUAUACUGCUCUAUUCAUAUUAAAAAAUCUCAGGCCGACAACGAUACGAUCGAGACUUCUUCUGGAAAAAAUAACACCAUCGAUACUCAUCCUGGAUAAUAUAAUACCUUUGAGACUUAUUCUGGACAUGAUUUUGUUGUUUGUUUACAAGAUAUGCACUUGUUGGUAAACACGUUUCAGUGAACUUUGAAGAAGCGCUACCGCUCGAGUAGCCAAUAUUGAGUAUUCUCGUUUAGGGAGACGGUCUGGGAAAACCCACCUAACAUAUAGGGGAUUUUCUUUUCACGUUGCCUUGUAGCCAGGAAAAACCUGUGAGUUGUGCAUUGGUAGAUUCAGAGGAAUACAAAUACGGAGAGGUCAUAAAAGCAAGGAAGUGAACAUCGCUUGGAAGAUAUGGCAGAUUCAGGAGAACAGCCUAGUCAUUUCACGUCUCUAAGAUCAGAUGAUAGGCCCGUGACCCAAACCAAUCCAACAAACCCUGCUUCAACAGAAGAUAUGGCAGGUUCAGGAGAACAUCCUAGGGGUUACCGUUCUCUAAGAUCAGAUGGAGGGCCUACCCAAACCAAUCCAACAAUUAAACCUGCUUUAAAAGUAGUUCGAACUGAGUUUACAGAUAUCGAAUGUCUAGACCUAGCCAAUCUGAUCUGUCCAGAUAACGACUUCCAGAGACUUGGCCAUUACUUGGGAUUUAAUGCUCCUGCAUUAAGUAGAUACAGAAGAGAAAACACUGGAGGAGGUUGCCAUGGUGUUUAUAAGAUGCUGAUAGAUUGGAAGAAGAGAUUCUUGGAUCAUGAACAAAGGGAAAAUUUAGCAAAUGCAUUGGUUAACGCUGGACUGAAAUCUUUGUCUUUCCAGGUACG